GCUCAGUAACACGUAGUCAACAUGCCCAGGGGACGUGGAUAACCUCGGGAAACUGAGGAUAAACCGCGAUAAGUCACUACUUCUGGAAUGGGUAAUGACUCAAAUCUAUAUGGCCCCUGGAUUGGACUGCGGCCGAUCAGGCUGUUGGUGAGGUAAUGGCCCACCAAACCUGUAACCGGUACGGGCUCUGAGAGGAGGAGCCCGGAGAUGGGCACUGAGACAAGGGCCCCAGGCCCUAUGGGGCGCAGCAGGCGCGAAACCUCUGCAAUAGGCGAAAGCUUGACAGGGUUACUCUGAGUGAUUUCCGUUAAGGAAAUCUUUUGGCACCUCUAAAAAUGGUGCAGAAUAAGGGGUGGGCAAGUCUGGUGUCAGCCGCCGCGGUAAUACCAGCACCCCGAGUGGUCGGGACGUUUAUUGGGCCUAAAGCAUCCGUAGCCGGUUUUACAAGUCUUCCGUUAAAUCCAACUGCUUAACAGGUGGGCUGCGGAAGAUACUAUAGAGCUAGGAGGCGGGAGAGGCAAGCGGUACUCGAUGGGUAGGGGUAAAAUCCGUUGAUCCAUUGAAGACCACCAGUGGCGAAGGCGGCUUGCCAGAACGCGCUCGACGGUGAGGGAUGAAAGCUGGGGGAGCAAACCGGAUUAGAUACCCGGGUAGUCCCAGCUGUAAACGAUGCAGACUCGGUGAUGAGUUGGCUAUAUGCCAUCUCAGUGCCGCAGGGAAGCCGUUAAGUUUGCCGCCUGGGGAGUACGGUCGCAAGACUGAAACUUAAAGGAAUUGGCGGGGGAGCACCA
RNAcentral lists this ribosomal RNA (791 nucleotides) under uncultured archaeon. RNAcentral's name for it is "bacterial SSU rRNA". It matches the Rfam family "Archaeal small subunit ribosomal RNA", at positions 88 to 881 of the family's 1478-position model. The record is from RNAcentral.